RNAcentral lists this ribosomal RNA (381 nucleotides) under Triticum aestivum (bread wheat). Its description in RNAcentral is "partial small subunit ribosomal RNA". The record is from RNAcentral. Lineage: Eukaryota; Viridiplantae; Streptophyta; Magnoliopsida; Poales; Poaceae.
AUGCCUACGCCACUGCUCCCUCCUGCCUCGCGCAGCUCCCCUGGCCCCCUUGCCUGCCUCCCAAAUGUCCCCUCUUUCACCCCCAAAGUCGUUUCUUCUUUCUCCCGCUGCGUCUCCUGCUUGCGCGCUGCGGCGACACCUCCUCCUCGUUGCCCCCGACGCCGGAGGAGGCACGGGGCAAGCAGCAGUGUCUCGCGCUGCGCUUGCGCCACCUCGGGUGCGCGUGGGCCUACGCGUCGGUCGCCGCCUCGGCCGUGCGCCAGUCCGCAAAGGAGGAGGAAGGGGAUUCCGUUCGCCGCCAAGGCGUACUGGGUAUGCUCCUCGAGUCCCCGCUCUUCAGGCCCCUCCUCACCUCCCUCAUCAAGAAGCAGAACAACAUGA